Molecule: long non-coding RNA, 371 nt
Organism: Dermacentor albipictus
Lineage: Eukaryota; Metazoa; Arthropoda; Arachnida; Ixodida; Ixodidae
Source: RefSeq, a predicted model, not a curated record
CCGCUACAAACAACCAUUGCGUGUGAUUUACGCAGCUGCAAUGAUGAAGUACUACUCGUCAGUCAUCGUCUUGCUUCUUCUGCUGGCUGGUUUCUUGGACAUCAGCUCCGGAAGUUUGCCGGAGGAGGAGAUUACGUAUGAACCCAUUGAUGAACGCUACUGGAACCAUGCUUGACCAGAUUUGUCUCCACCAACGUUUGUUUUUUGACCGAAGGUGAAAAGAAAGCGGUUGCCCUGAUAAUUACAAGUGCAGCCACAGCUGCAAGAUCGAGGGUUACCACUUCGGCGUUUGAGAACCACCGUAUAAGACCUACUGCACCUGCUUGCCUUAUUACCGCUUGUGUUGCAACGUCAUCUUCUUGUUUAUUGCG